UGGGGAAUCUUGCGCAAUGGGCGAAAGCCUGACGCAGCAACGCCGUGUGAAUGAUGAAGGCCUUAGGGUCGUAAAAUUCUGUCAAGGGGGAAGAAGAUCUGACGGUACCCCUGGAGGAAGCUCCGGCUAACUACGUGCCAGCAGCCGCGGUAAUACGUAGGGAGCGAGCGUUGUCCGGAAUUACUGGGCGUAAAGGGCGUGUAGGCGGCCAAUCAAGUCAGGUGUGAAAAUCCAAGGCUCAACCUUGGACGUGCACUUGAAACUGGUUGGCUUGAGUGCAGGAGAGGAAAGUGGAAUUCCCAGUGUAGCGGUGAAAUGCGUAGAUAUUGGGAGGAACACCAGUGGCGAAGGCGACUUUCUGGCCUGUAACUGACGCUGAGGCGCGAAAGCUAGGGGAGCAAACAGGAUUAGAUACCCUGGUAGUCCUAGCCGUAAACGAUGGGUACUAGGUGUAGGGGGUUUAGAUGCCCUCUGUGCCGCAGUUAACACA
Molecule: ribosomal RNA, 490 nt
Filed under: uncultured Dethiobacter sp.
Lineage: Bacteria; Bacillati; Bacillota; Dethiobacteria; Dethiobacterales; Dethiobacteraceae
Description: bacterial SSU rRNA
Rfam family: Bacterial small subunit ribosomal RNA
Source: RNAcentral